AACCAACAGCAGACCAGGAUCCACAGAUUGCACAGAUCAUAAUGCAUACACACUCACGCAUAAGCAUGCAACACAAGCUCACACACCCACAACCACACCCACUACACAACAACAACAAACACACUUAGUAUAACAAAUUUACCAGAUUUAAUGUAGAAGCGGAACAAAAAUCGUAAGCAAUUUCGUGUAUAUACAUAUAUAUGUACAUAGGCAUAUAUGUAGACCAGAUAUGUGCUCAUACUAUAUAUAUAUAUAUAUAUGUAUGCAGGUAGACCCAUUUUGAAUUGUAAUUGAAAAUUGAUUGAUUCGAUAUCGAAUUCUCUCGCACCAUUGCUGCUUGUUGAUUCAACAAAGAUUGAAAUCGCAUCCAAUCCCAUAUAUACCAUCCCAUUUAUAUCAUGCGAUAACGAUAGCGAUGUAUCCCCGCAUGUAUAUGGAAACGAUACGAUACGAUAUAUAACAAUAUUUGAAUUGAUUUCAAUCAAUUUCCACGCCACUGCUUGAUUAUGGCUGCGAAUCAGACUCAAUAACUAAUUGAAAUCGCAUCAAUAAAUAAGCAGAGAAUAAAACAGAAAACAAAACAACACAAAAAGAAGGGAAAUCGAACGAUAAAAGAUUUAAAAAACGUAAAAAACAUAAAGUUGCCGCCAGGAAGCACAGCAAAGCCAACUGGGACGACGAGGGGGGAAAGCAGUAAUAAAUACAGCAAAAGAUGAGUAAAAACAAAACAAAACAAAAAAAAAAAACAAGAAAAAACAUCAAAUAAUAAUAAUACAAUAAAAAACAAACAAAAAAAAACAAUGAAAAAGCCGAACGCAAAACUGCAAAGUAAUUUUGCAUAGUAAGCAGUAAUAAUUAUAAACAUAACUUAUAUUUAAUUUUUUGAAUUACAUCAAUAAAUAUGUUGAAAUUAUGUACAUCGCUCUGUCGAUCGGAUCGAUGGGACGCCCCGAUGCCCCGGAUUUCUGUAACUUCGCGACGGAACCUUCGAAUGACACCUCGCCACUAAAUAGACAGAGAGAGGUAGAGAUGGUGCGAGGAUAGAAGAACAGCAAGAAGUCGAUGCAGGAAAACGUCAGGCACAGCCUUUAAUCAAUCGAUCGUAGAUCUAAAGAACUAUAGAGAAUUACAUACCUAUAUAUAAACAAAUUUGAAAUCUGAAAAUCGUGCAAUUUCGAGGAAGAAAACUACCUAAAUUUCUUUGAAAUGUCUGAAAAUAUACAUAAUAGUAAAUCCCAAACAUUUAUAAAGAUUAUCUAUCAAUCCAUAAAUGAGGCAUCCAAAGGCAUCCCGUAAUUGUCAUUCAAAACUCAAAAGAAAACAUUACGAUUCGCGCUAAGAAUCAAAAAUGUUAUAGGAUGUUGUUAUGUUGAAAAUGCAUACCACUUUGAGUGAGGGUAGUAGCUAUUGUUUUGAGAUCUAAUUGUCGAAGGAAUGGAAUGGAAUGGUUUCGACCGAUCCUAUAAUUUAACGACAUUUUGAACCCGUUUCUAGCUAUGACCCAUCGAGUAUUAUGAUAUUAUAUGCAGGGAGGGGGAGUGGAGCUCUUCUUUAACAGGAAGACCAGCAAAUACAUUUUCAUCGGAAAACAGAAUAAAGGAUUCUAUUCUGAAGCCAUUCACGACCGACCUGCCGUUGCCUGGGAUUCCAUCUAUUUUGGAUACUAUCAUAGUACAAGGACUCGGUACCACUGAAAUUUUCGGACCUAUCCACAAAUAAAGAUUACAGUGCAGUGCCGCAGUUUGCAUACAAUUCACACAGAUGGAAGCAUGGAAGGAUAUGCAUACGAAGACAGCCCCUAUAGAAUGUAUAUAGAGAAAAGAAGUCAUUCCUUUUUGGUUCUCAAUGCCACUGCAUUCUACUACUCGCGGAUUACUUGGGACAUCCUUGGGACAUAUUUAUUAACUGUUAUUUUGGCCUCUUUUCUGUUUUAUUGUUCUUAAUUUGUGAAUCUGCAUACAUACAAAUAUGAACAUUUUUAUUUCCUUUCUUUUUAUAUUUAUAUUUUCAUUUUAUAUUUACGAAAGAAAUACAUACUAAUUCGUACAAAACUAA
Molecule: long non-coding RNA, 2055 nt
Organism: Drosophila persimilis
Lineage: Eukaryota; Metazoa; Arthropoda; Insecta; Diptera; Drosophilidae
Exons: 2
Source: RefSeq, a predicted model, not a curated record